UGCUAGGGUUUGGUAGUUAGCUGAAGAGGGACAGGGUAGGGUUUGGUAAUUAGCUGAAGAGGGAUAGGGUUAGGGUUCUGUAGUUAGUUCUAGAGAGACAGGGCUAGGUUUUGGUAGUGAGCUGAAGAGGGAAGGUGCUAGGGUUUGGUAUUUAGUUCAAGAGGUACGGGGCUAGGGUUUGGUAGUUAGCUGAAGAGGGACAGGGUAGGGUUUGGUAAUUAGCUGAAGAGGGAAGGGGCUAGGGUUUGGUAGUUAGUUCAAGAGGGACGGCGCUAGGUUUUGGUUGUUAGCUAAAGAGGGACAGGGCUAAGGAUUGG
RNAcentral lists this long non-coding RNA (317 nucleotides) under Salmo salar (Atlantic salmon). Its description in RNAcentral is "lncRNA (ENSSSAG00000085759.1)". Lineage: Eukaryota; Metazoa; Chordata; Actinopteri; Salmoniformes; Salmonidae. The record is from RNAcentral.